Molecule: non-coding RNA, 31 nt
Filed under: Homo sapiens (human)
Lineage: Eukaryota; Metazoa; Chordata; Mammalia; Primates; Hominidae
Source: RNAcentral
UGCCAUACGGUAUCAGUAAGUCUAAAGCAGA